This 429-nucleotide ribosomal RNA is filed under the name Chloroflexota bacterium. RNAcentral's name for it is "Chloroflexi bacterium partial 16S ribosomal RNA". It matches the Rfam family "Bacterial small subunit ribosomal RNA", at positions 355 to 776 of the family's 1533-position model. The record is from RNAcentral. Lineage: Bacteria; Bacillati; Chloroflexota.
UGGGGAAUAUUGCACAAUGGGCGCAAGCCUGAUGCAGCCAUGCCGCGUGUAUGCAGAAGGCCUUCGGGUUGUAAAGUACUUUCAGCGGGGAGGAAGGGAGUAAAGUUAAUACCUUUGCUCAUUGACGUUACCCGCAGAAGAAGCACCGGCUAACUCCGUGCCAGCAGCCGCGGUAAUACGGAGGGUGCAAGCGUUAAUCGGAAUUACUGGGCGUAAAGCGCACGCAGGCGGUUUGUUAAGUCAGAUGUGAAAUCCCCGGGCUCAACCUGGGAGCUGCAGCUGAUACUGGCAAGCGUGAGUCUCGUAGAGGGGGGUAGAAUUCCAGGUGUAGCGGUGAGAUGCGUAGAGAUCUGGGGGAAUACCGGUGGCGAAGGCGGCCCCCUGGACGAAGACUGACGCUCAGGUGCGAAAGCGGGGGGAGCAAACAGG